GACGAACGCUGGCGGCGUGCCUAAUACAUGCAAGUAGAACGCUGAAGGAGGAGCUUGCUUCUCUGGAUGAGUUGCGAACGGGUGAGUAACGCGUAGGUAACCUGCCUGGUAGCGGGGGAUAACUAUUGGAAACGAUAGCUAAUACCGCAUAAUAGUAGAUGUCGCAUGACAUUUGCUUAAAAGUUGCAAUUGCAUCACUACCAGAUGGACCUGCGUUGUAUUAGCUAGUUGGUGAGGUAACGGCUCACCAAGGCAACGAUACAUAGACGAACUGAGAGGGUGAUCGGCCAAACUGGGACUGAGACACGGCCCAGACGCAUACGGGAGGCAGCAGCAGGGAAUCUUCGGCAAUGGACGGAAGUCUGACCGAGCAACGCCGCGUGAGUGAAGAAGGGUUUCGGAUCGUAAAGCUCUGUUGUAAGAGAAGAAAGAGUGUGAGAGUGGAAAGUUCACACUGUGACGGUAUCUUACCAGAAAGGGACGGCUAACUACGUG
This 495-nucleotide ribosomal RNA is filed under the name uncultured bacterium. RNAcentral's name for it is "partial 16S ribosomal RNA". It matches the Rfam family "Bacterial small subunit ribosomal RNA", at positions 28 to 507 of the family's 1533-position model. The record is from RNAcentral.